This 497-nucleotide ribosomal RNA is filed under the name uncultured bacterium. RNAcentral describes it as "partial 16S ribosomal RNA". It matches the Rfam family "Bacterial small subunit ribosomal RNA", at positions 28 to 507 of the family's 1533-position model. The record is from RNAcentral.
GACGAACGCUGGCGGCGUGCCUAAUACAUGCAAGUAGAACGCUGAAGAGAGGAGCUUGCUCUUCUUGGAUGAGUUGCGAACGGGUGAGUAACGCGUAGGUAACCUGCCUUGUAGCGGGGGAUAACUAUUGGAAACGAUAGCUAAUACCGCAUAACAAUGGAUGACACAUGUCAUUUAUUUGAAAGGGGCAAUUGCUCCACUACAAGAUGGACCUGCGUUGUAUUAGCUAGUAGGUGAGGUAAUGGCUCACCUAGGCGACGAUACAUAGCCGACCUGAGAGGGUGAUCGGCCACACUGGGACUGAGACACGGCCCAGACUCCUACGGGAGGCAGCAGUAGGGAAUCUUCGGCAAGGGGGGCAACCCUGACCGAGCAACGCCGCGUGAGUGAAGAAGGGUUUCGGAUCGUAAAGCUCUGUUGUAAGUCAAGAACGGGUGUGAGAGUGGAAAGUUCACACUGUGACGGUAGCUUACCAGAAAGGGACGGCUAACUACGUG